CACUAACCCCAAACCCCAAACGCUUCCCCCCCCCCUCUCUCCCUGCUCCCUUUCUCCAUCCUCUCCUCCCGUUGACAUGACAACCGGGCGCUAUGCUAUAGCCUCGAGAUAUGUCAGAUGUGCAGCCGGCUUUAAAAUGAACUGCUUCGGUGGAAAUACAGAAUAGGAUUAAUUCAUCAUCUUCCUGUCAGUCGUUGACUGAUCGAGUAUUGAAACCCCCCCCACACUGUGUUUAUAAGAAAAUAAUAAUAAAAAUAAUAAUAACAAUAAUACAUGUCAAUGAUAAGCAUACAUAUUCCCCUUUUUUAUGACAACCCCUUUGUUCAAUGCCGGGACGGAGGCGUUGUGAGUUGUCAGUGAGAUUUAGUCUUUCUCGUUCUGCAUUGUACCCCAGUGCAGCAGUAUGGGCCGCUACGCCACUUUCAGUUUAUCCCCCCUGUCUCAGAGCCCGGGGGCAGGGUGGAGCAGAGGUUAGGGAACUGGGUUCGAACCCGAGCCUCGGACAGUUAAAUCCAAACGGAAGGUGACCGGUGUCCUUCCCCUGACUGAAGAGGGAACCUCCUCAUUCCCGAGCAGGCAGGAGCGAGCCGGGACGAUCCGUCAGUCCCGGAGCAGAGCGCCAGUCCAUCACCCGCCGACGGAGCGCGGAAUUUAUGGGCUCUGCAGUCGGCCUUGUCAUGGGCGGAUGUGAACAGCUUGUAACUCCACAGAUUAUACAUUAUGCCUUUAUUGUGGUGCUGUUUGGAUUCAGAACAUUACUCAGCCUAACUCAGGUCAAUAGGCCCUGGCCUUAUUUUGGGCUGUAGCCUUACGGUUAUACUCAAAGGCAGGUCGAUAGGGCCUGGCCUGGUUUUAGCCUUUAGCAUUAUGACCAUACUCAAAGCCAGGUCGAUAGGGCCUGGCCUGGUUUUAGCCUUUAGCAUGAUGGCCAUACUCAAAGGCAGGUCGAUAGGGCCUGGCCUGGUUUUAGCCUUUAGCCAGACUACAGUCACUGUCCAUAACAGUGUGAAUCUUGAGGAACGAUGGCAUUUAUUUGUUAGCUUUGCUUAGCUGUAGUGCCAUUUGCUUAUCAUGUUAAACACACUUACAAGGCAGA
Molecule: long non-coding RNA, 1096 nt
Organism: Anguilla rostrata (American eel)
Lineage: Eukaryota; Metazoa; Chordata; Actinopteri; Anguilliformes; Anguillidae
Exons: 2
Source: RefSeq, a predicted model, not a curated record